GGGGGUAUAGCUCAAUGGUAAACUGUGUGCUUAGCAUGUUCGAGGUCCUGGGUUCAAUUCCCAGUACCUCCA
This 72-nucleotide transfer RNA is filed under the name Camelus bactrianus (Bactrian camel). It matches the Rfam family "tRNA". From Rfam's summary of the family: Transfer RNA (tRNA) molecules are approximately 80 nucleotides in length. The record is from Rfam by way of RNAcentral. RNAcentral also lists the same sequence under 2 other names. Lineage: Eukaryota; Metazoa; Chordata; Mammalia; Artiodactyla; Camelidae.